GAGGAUAGGACAAAUUUUACAAGUGAGACAAAUGAAGUAGCCAACCAUUAUCGUUAGAGAAGCUGAAGACUCCUUGAGGGCAGAUACUAGAGGCACAAGGUCCAGAUGUGAGCUCCUGGAAACAAUUUGGGAGGAAGUGAACAUCUGAAAGAACUGCAAAAUGAACCUUACAUUCUACCAGAUAAACAGGAUGCUGUUAAAGAACACUACUAAAGGGUACAGCAAAAGGAUGUGGCUAAGGAUGCUUCUAAAGGAUGCUGCUAAAGGAUGAUGCUAAAGGGUGCUUCUAAAGGAUGCUGCUAGAGGAUGAUGCUAGAGGGUGCUUCUAAGGUUACUAGAAUUAUGCCAAUAUGACUGCACUGACAGCUUGGGAGGUUUACAUCAAGCAAAGACAAGACACUGAAAACAUAACCAAGAGAAAAAAAUGCAAUGCAUUUAGAUGCAUUCAGUAUGUUUAAAUUCAUGAAGUCCUGAUAUACUAUUAAAGACUCUACCUUGGCCACUUCA
Molecule: long non-coding RNA, 507 nt
Organism: Peromyscus maniculatus bairdii (prairie deer mouse)
Lineage: Eukaryota; Metazoa; Chordata; Mammalia; Rodentia; Cricetidae
Source: RefSeq, a predicted model, not a curated record